Cyprinus carpio carpio is the source of this 2158-nucleotide long non-coding RNA. NCBI's taxonomy places the organism in Eukaryota, Metazoa, Chordata, Actinopteri, Cypriniformes, Cyprinidae. The record is from Ensembl.
CUGAUACAUCAAGUGAAAGUGAUUCUAUAAACUUCCCUAAAUGUCUUCAUCAACCAUGUGAAUUACCUGUUUCUGGAGGUUGAUUUCUACUUUUUUAGUUUUCUUACUCAUGUGGUCGGUUUUUCAGUUUUGAUCUCAUUCUAAAAUAGAUACAUGGUAACUGGUCAGAUAUAUUUUUAUAUAGCACAGGAUUCUUGACAGACAUGUCAAACUGAACUGAUAUUUUGCCCAUUUUAAGUGCCUACAGACAUAGUGAAAUGGCCCUGUUCAUCUUCAUAAUAUUUUAUCUUUUACUGGUGGUUAAAUUGCAAGGUUUGGCCACCAUGUCGUCUUUGCCACCAAUCACAGAGGGCAGCCCAACAGUGAUUCCCAAUGGAACCUUACAAGUGAAUUUGUCCACUGCAUCAACAAUGAACACAACAUUUUUGGGUGUAACAUCCACUACUGAGUCUGAAAUCACAACAGACCUGAUAACCAAUAUGUCAAGUCUAAGUUCCCAAGACAACCAUAGUUUAAAAGAUCCUGCAAACGCAUCCUUAGAAUCGACUACACUUACUGAUAAUACAGAACGUGCUUCAGUUUUCCCCUUGAUGACUAAAGGCCCUGAAAUCAGAAAGUACUCAAAUACAAAAAUGUUCUUCCUCAUUGCUGUGGUUGCAUCUGGUGGAGGAAUUGUACUGACUGGACUCGUGGGCACCUGUUUGUACAGACGUACACGAAAGUCAAAGGCAGAGAGGAUUUGGAUCGAAUCGAGCAGCAAAAAACACAAACAGGGACAUUCUUUACCAGUGGCCAGUUCAGACUCAUCUGGAGAGGAAGAUACAGUGCUUUACUCAACCAUCAACUUCAUUCAACCCCCCUCUCAACCACCAGGAAACAAUGAAGAAUCAAUUCAAAAUGAGGUUGAACUGAAUCAUUUGUAUUACACCGUCAUAACCAAACCGGCAAUCUCCAGUGACAGCAGGAGUGUUUACAGUCAGCUGAAGGUCCGCUGAAAGAAUACAACUCUGCGUGCUGCUGUUUUAAUGCAGGCCAAAAUUGAUGCAUCUUAAUUUUAAACAUGCUUUAAUCCUCCAUAGCAAUGCCUUUUAUUGUAAAUGUUAAACUUCUGCUUUCUAAUUUCAAUGUUGUAACACCUUUCAAAACUGUGUCAUAAACUUUCUUUCUGAUUUCGGUUUACUUGUAUUUUCUGUAGAUUCACAUGAACAGAAUAACCACAUCAGAAGGCACAGCAUGAAUAUGCAUACUUUUAAGCAAUAAUAAUUGUUAUUGUGAAUGGCAGUUGUAUAGAUCAACAUAAGGACAGUCAUAUUUCCUCCUGUUACUUGUGUGAAUAUUUUCACCUGAUGUUUAUUAUUUAAAGCACCUCAUUUUUAUGUUUCUCUUUUUGUUCCUUUUGUACUUUUCCGCUGUUCCUCAAAGUUAUGUCUAAAAUCUCUUUGAAGACUGGAGUAAUGGCUGCUGAAAAUCCCACUUUGUCAUCACAGGAAUAAAAUAUAUUCAAAUAGAAAACUGUUAUUUUGAAUUGGUAUAAUAUAUUCACAGUGUUACUGUUUUUACUGUAUUUGUGAUCAAAUAAAUGCAGCUUUAGUAAACAAGAGAGACUUCUCUCAAAAACAUUUAAAAAAUGUUACCAAGCCCAAUCGUUUGAAUGGUGUACAUGAAGAAGUUUUUUUUUUUUUUUUUAAUGAAAACCAGACACCGGAGAAACCUACAGCAAUACAGGUAUCCGAUUACUGUGAAUAUGCGUCAGAUGACAGCACACUCUCCUGUCUAAAACAUGGACUUACAGUUAUAUAUGUGACAUGAUGGCAGUCUUCUCAUUAACACAAGUUGUACCACUACUCUUUGCAUUAUGGUAUGGUACACUGAGUUAUGCUGCUCAUCCUCCUCAUCUUUACACUCUUUCUGGAGGUUCAACCUCAGUAAGUGACAACUUAAAUUAAAAAAAAUAAAAUGUUAUAUUUCAUAUUAAGUCUCUGUUCUCCUCUGCUCUAGGAUAGUAUGUCACAGUUGCUGAUUUUAGGUACUACCAAUAUGGUCACACUUUAUAACAAGUAUAAAGUAAUUACUGUAAGUACUAACAAGUCAUUUGUAAACUAUUAGUUUAUAGUUAAUUAAGAGUUUAUAAACUGUAUUUAAUACAUUAAUAGACGCU